Molecule: RNA transcript, 2420 nt
Organism: Rosa rugosa (rugosa rose)
Lineage: Eukaryota; Viridiplantae; Streptophyta; Magnoliopsida; Rosales; Rosaceae
Exons: 6
Source: RefSeq, a predicted model, not a curated record
CUAGUUUUUUUCCAAAACACGGGGGAGACGGGAGAGCAUGGUAAACUAAGGCGCCUACCUCUGAGUUUGGUAAGGUCCCAGGUUCGAUUCGAGGAAACCCAGACAUAGAGAACAAUAAUAUAGAAGUAUAUAUAUCAGUCUCCCAAAUCACGGCACUUUGCAGCAAAAUUGAAAGGGAAAACCCUAAAUUUUCACUUUCCCGGGUUCUCCAAAAUUUCCCUCUCUAAGUUUCAAUUUCCCACCAUGAAAUCUCGCCAAAUUCACUUUAGAAAUCACCCCGUUCAUUUACUCAAACCGAGGUAUCAGAGCAGAAGAAAAAAAGAAAAAAGAAACCGAGUUUUAUCAAUGUGCUCUGAUGCUUAAUGACCCAUCGAGCAUCACUGACUUUGAUCCAUAGCUUUUCUUCCUUGCAUAGUCUUCUUUUGCUGUUCUUAAGUGCUCAGGCUGUCUCUGGCUCCAGUAUGCUCAUAGAGUUCUCAACUCUGAAAGGUACCAUCAUGCCCAUCUCCUUUACGUUUUGGGAAGGACUGAAAGAUGACGCCUGAUUCUAGGAAAGUUGGGACGGGGAUGGCAGCAUCCCCAUCUCCUUUUCUCACGCCUCGGCCCGAAAAGCGGCGUGGUACUCUUGAUUGGAAUUCGAAUCACAAGGAUAAGGAUAAGGAAGUUAAUGUGCAAGUUGUGCUCAGAUGCAGAGUCUAUCAUAUGAAGUGUUUUCGUAUUUCAAAACAACCAUUACUUCUUCCUCACCAGCUCAUCCAGAAUUCAUAUUUCUGCAAGAACCAGGGAAUCAAUGUCGGAGAUGUUUAGAAGCUUCAGGACGCAGGGAUCUACACCUGCAAUGGCUUGACGAUGCACACCAAGAAUGUAAAGCCAACUUAACCUCUGAAUUUUUGAAACUGUAAAUGUUCAAGUUGGAUGUCCUUACUGUGAUUGUUUUUUGGCAGAACUUGACUGGAAUUAAAGGUUUAUCUGAGGUCAAAGUCGAUAAGAUUUGUGAAGCUGCUGAGAAGAUUGUGGUUAGUGCUCAAAUUCUGUUGCAGUCUUGUACUAAGUCUGGUAUUUGGUCUAGCUGCAAAAAUGGCUGAAGAGCCAUUCAGACUUCUGGAAAAGAUUUCAGUACUUUACUCCCUCAGCUGGGUCGGAUCCCUUUUUUUUCUUUAUCUUUGUUUCCUCCCUUAAUUAUACAAGAGUUUUAUUUAAGAUCUGCAUGGCUUCUAAUACAUAUGGAAUUGACCAUUCUGUUGGAUAAUAUUAUUGCAUUUAGUCUUCCCAUAAUUAUUGCUUUGCUUCCAGUUCAACUUACAUUCAUGAUUCAAGGUAUAUAUUUUGUUUAGGUUGCCAAUGUGAAUUGUGUGUCCCUAGAGUCAUUGCCAAGGUAUAUAUUCAUGAUUCAACUUUCUGUACUGCUUCUGAUUUUUAAUCUUGUUUUGUUUUCAGAUAAUGAAUUUUAUGUGUGCUUGCUAUCCAUCAUAUCGUUCUUUACAUAGGCCAAGUAAAAAUGGGACACUUGAAGGUUAGCCUUUCUUAUAACAGUUUGGAUCUCCAUAAUCGACACCAUUUGUAUUUCACAUCCUUUUUUUUUCCCCUUUAUCUUUGUUUCCUCCCUUAAUUAGUCUAUAUUUCCUGGAGGAGUUCUUUCCAUAUUUUGUAGUAAGAAAUGAUGUCUCCUUGUAUUGACAGUUGGGGAAAACAAAAUUCUUGAUGCUAAAACUGGUUCAGCAAGCAAGAGGCGACGUAGUACCAAGACUGUUAAAAGUGCAGAAAUCAUCAUUUAACAGGUGUGCUCAUCUAUAUAUCAUGCGAUCCCAAUAUUACAAUGUCAGGUGGUUUCACCUUUUCUUGGUAGGGUCUGUGCUGCUGUGAAUAAUAUUCUUUAGAAAAUGAAAGUUGAGAUAAGUGGUAUAGCGUGCAGGAGGUUCAAAAGUCAUGUUAUGCAACUUGAAGCCCUAUUGAGAGGAGUGGCGCCAAUGUUGACAGCAAUAGGUUGAGGACUAGCAAAAGAAAGAUCAAAAGGCCAAUAAAGUACAUUAACUACCGGGAUUAUACACGGUACUUCUAUGCAUCAAUUUUAGCUUCACGAGUAUUAAAAACUAAAAAGACAUGCUAAGCAGCAGCUUGAGUUUCUUCAAGUGUUUCCUCUUCGUCAUCAGUCUAUAUACAUGUUCCACGCUCAUGAUGCUCCUCUAGGUAACUACUAUUAAAACUGUCUUUUUGUACAAUGAUUUGAGUUUUGUAAUUGAUCUUUUUGGUAACUUUUUCAGUUUUAUAGAUAAACUACAUUUAGGUGGUUCCAGACUUCCAGUGCUAUCUGAUCAUGGAAGUCCUAUUGUAGGUGGAGGGUUCCUCUGUACAUUACUUCAGAAUGUUGUGCUAUUUGUUUUCUUUAGAUUAAGAUUUGUACAAUUGUAUGUAUGUCUAUU